Molecule: long non-coding RNA, 139 nt
Organism: Electrophorus electricus (electric eel)
Lineage: Eukaryota; Metazoa; Chordata; Actinopteri; Gymnotiformes; Gymnotidae
Source: RefSeq, a predicted model, not a curated record
GUCCACUCCCUGUGAUACUCAUGCUGAUUUUACUUCAAGCUUGGCCUGCUCAAGAGAGACUUAAGGUAGUAGUGAGUGUGUCUUCACAGAGCUGGCUGACUGAAGGGGUCUCAAUGACUCUAAACUGUGAGGUCAGAAA